Molecule: long non-coding RNA, 423 nt
Organism: Oreochromis aureus
Lineage: Eukaryota; Metazoa; Chordata; Actinopteri; Cichliformes; Cichlidae
Source: Ensembl
AAAAGCUCUGCAAUUUAACAUGGCCCAGGUGUGUAGUUGACACUGACCAAAUAUGAAGCUUGUACAAUGAAAUUCCAAUGAGGAGUUCGCAAAAGUUCGAGGCAUGGAAAUGGCAAAAUUAGAGCCAAAAUGUCACCUUCACUUCCAAAUGGCGGACUUCCUGUUGGGUUUGCGUCAAUGGUCCCACUGACUUUUUUGUUCGUCUUGGCAUGAUACACAUGUGUGCCAAAUUUCAUACAUGUAGCUAAAACGAUGUGUUCGUAGGGCUGCAUUUAACAAGGCAUAGGUGGCGCUACUGAGCCAUUUCCCAGUGCUCAUAUGUAAAACCAUUAAAAUACAAAAUUUUUCACCAGACCUGGCAUGUGUGCAAAAUUCCAAGAGUUUUCGAGCAUGUUAAAGCCCUCAAAAAGGCCCUUCUUUUGC